Molecule: small RNA, 342 nt
Filed under: Histoplasma ohiense
Lineage: Eukaryota; Fungi; Ascomycota; Eurotiomycetes; Onygenales; Ajellomycetaceae
Description: hypothetical lncRNA
Source: RNAcentral
UAUCCUGAGCGGGGGUUGGGCCAAACUUAAUAACCUAGCCAGAUCUGCGGGAUGUGGAGGAUGUAGUUAGGUGUGGCGGUUUGGAGCUAUAUUCUUAACGACGGUUUGUCUCCAAGAGCCUUGGAAUGUUUGUGAGAAUAAAUCGAACGAAUAGAUACUGCAAUAACUCCAUCGGCCGGUUUUGGUUCGGAUAAUCAAGCUGCUCAAGGUUUUCCAAAGGGCUGUAUCUGGUCUGUAUUGUGCUUUUUGAUGUAGACUACUGUGCACCUGUAUAUUAACAUAGGUUUUGUCCGCCGGAGUCCCUCAGUACCCCUAAGCUAAAGGUCUUCAUCAUGGUCAUCG